This 468-nucleotide ribosomal RNA is filed under the name uncultured bacterium. RNAcentral describes it as "partial 16S ribosomal RNA". It matches the Rfam family "Bacterial small subunit ribosomal RNA", at positions 28 to 507 of the family's 1533-position model. The record is from RNAcentral.
GACGAACGCUGGCGGCGUGCUUAACACAUGCAAGUCGAACGGAAAGGCCCUGCGUUUGUGGGGUGCUCGAGUGGCGAACGGGGGAGUAACACGUGAGUAACCUGCCCUUGACUUUGGGAUAACUUCAGGAAACUGGGGCUAAUACCGGAUAGGAGCUCCUGCUGCAUGGUGGGGGUUGGAAAGUUUCGGCGGGUGGGGAUGGACGGGCGGCUUAUCAGCUUGUUGGUGGGGUAGGGGCUUGCCAAGGCUUUGACGGGUAGCCGGCCUGAGAGGGUGACCGGCCACAUUGGGACUGCGAUACGGCCCAGACUCCUACGGGAGGCAGCAGUGGGGAAUAUUGCACAAUGGGCGGAAGCCUGAUGCAGCAACGCCGCGUUCGGGAUGCCGGCCUUCGGGUUGUAAACCGCUUUCGCCUGUGACGAAGCGUGAGUGACGGUAAUGGGUAAAGAAGCACCGGCUAACUACGUG